This is an unclassified non-coding RNA of Chelydra serpentina (North American snapping turtle), 300 nucleotides long. It matches the Rfam family "Metazoan signal recognition particle RNA". Rfam says of the family: The signal recognition particle (SRP) is a universally conserved ribonucleoprotein. It is involved in the co-translational targeting of proteins to membranes. The record is from Ensembl. Lineage: Eukaryota; Metazoa; Chordata; Testudines; Chelydridae.
GCCGGGCGCCGUGGCUGGUGCCUGUGAUCCCAGCGGCGGGGGAGGCUGAGGCCGGCGGAUCGCUUGAGCUCAGGAGUUCUGGGCUGCAGCGGGCUGUGCCGAGCGGGUGUCCGCACUGAGGUCGGCAUCGAUAUGGGGAUCCCGGGGAAGCUCGGGGUCCCCAGGUUGCCUAAGGAGAGGUGAACCGGCCCAGGUCGGAAACGGAGCAGGUCAAAGCUCCCGUGCCGAUCAGUAGUGGGAUCGCGCCUGUGAAUGGCCCCUGCAGCGUAGCCUGGGCGAGACAGUGAGACCCGGUCUCUU